This 468-nucleotide ribosomal RNA is filed under the name uncultured bacterium. RNAcentral describes it as "partial 16S ribosomal RNA". It matches the Rfam family "Bacterial small subunit ribosomal RNA", at positions 29 to 507 of the family's 1533-position model. The record is from RNAcentral.
UAUGAACGCUGGCGGCGUGCUUAACACAUGCCAGUCGAACGGUGAAGGCGGAGCUUGCUCUGCUGGAUCAGUGGCGAACGGGUGAGUAACACGUGAGCAAUCUGCCCCUGACUCUGGGAUAAGCGCUGGAAACGGCGUCUAAUACUGGAUACGAGCUGCGAAGGCAUCUUCAGCAGCUGGAAAGAACUUCGGUCAGGGAUGAGCUCGCGGCCUAUCAGCUUGUUGGUGAGGUAACGGCUCACCAAGGCGUCGACGGGUAGCCGGCCUGAGAGGGUGACCGGCCACACUGGGACUGAGACACGGCCCAGACUCCUACGGGAGGCAGCAGUGGGGAAUAUUGCACAAUGGGCGAAAGCCUGAUGCAGCAACGCCGCGUGAGGGACGACGGCCUUCGGGUUGUAAACCUCUUUUAGCAGGGAAGAAGCGAAAGUGACGGUACCUGCAGAAAAAGCGCCGGCUAACUACGUG